ACGUAAGAGGGACAGAUAGACUCCCGAUCAAUAACUUUCACAUGAUUGACUGAUCAAUUGAUUGAUUGACUGACUGUUUGGUUGCUAGAUUGAUCAACAGUUACCAGUCUUUUGCUAGGUAAGGCUGAUCAAUGAUCACACUGAUUAUUGACUGACUGGCUGGCUGACAUGAUAGUUCCUGUGAGGUCCUUGGCCAGGUCUGGUUCAUGAUAAUAAUGAUAGUUAUCUGUGAGGUCCUUGGCCAGGUCUGGUUCAUGAUAAUAUUGAUAGUUAUCUGUGAGGUCCUUGGCCAGGUCUGGUUCAUGAUAAUAAUGAUAGUUAUCUGUGAGGUCCUUGGCCAGGUCUGGUUCAUGAUAAUAUUGAUAGUUAUCUGUGAGGUCCUUGGCCAGGUCUGGUUCAUGAUAAUAUUGAUAGUUACCUGUGAGGUCCUUGGCCAGGUCUGGUUCAUGAUAAUAUUGAUAGUUCCUGUGAGGUCCUUGGCCAGGUCUGGUUCAUGAUAAUAUUGAUAGUUCCUGUGAGGUCCUUGGCCAGGUCUGGUUCAUGAUAAUAUUGAUAGUUAUCUGUGAGAUCCUUGGCCAGGUCUGGUUCAUGAUAAUAAUGAUAGUUAUCUGUGAGAUCCUUGGCCAGGUCUGGUUCAUGAUAAUAUUGAUAGUUAUCUGUGAGAUCCUUGGCCAGGUCUGGUUCAUGAUAAUAAUGAUAGUUAUCUGUGAGGUCCUUGGCCAGGUCUGGUUCAUGAUAAUAUUGAUAGUUAUCUGUGAGGUCCUUGGCCAGGUCUGGUUCAUGAUAAUAAUGAUAGUUAUCUGUGAGGUCCUUGGCCAGGUCUGGUUCAUGAUAAUAAUGAUAGUUAUCUGUGAGGUCCUUGGCCAGGUCUGGUUCAUGAUAAUAAUGAUAGUUAUCUGUGAGGUCCUUGGCCAGGUCUGGUUCAUGAUAAUAAUGAUAGUUAUCUGUGAGGUCCUUGGCCAGGUCUGGUUCAUGAUAAUAAUGAUAGUUCCUGUGAGGUCCUUGGCCAGGUCUGGUUCAUGAUAAUAAUGAUAGUUCCUGUGAGGUCCUUGGCCAGGUCUGGUUCAUGAUAAUAUUGAUAGUUACCUGUGAGGUCCUUGGCCAGGUCUGGUUCAUGAUAAUAAUGAUAGUUAUCGGUGAGAUCCUUGGCCAGGUCUGGUUCAUGAUAAUAUUGAUAGUUAUCGGUGAGAUCCUUGGCCAGGUCUGGUUCAUGAUAAUAAUGAUAGUUCCUGUGAGGUCCUUGGCCA
Oncorhynchus keta (chum salmon) is the source of this 1247-nucleotide long non-coding RNA. RefSeq lists it as uncharacterized. Lineage: Eukaryota; Metazoa; Chordata; Actinopteri; Salmoniformes; Salmonidae. The transcript is spliced from 5 exons. The record is from RefSeq and is a predicted model, not a curated record.